RNAcentral lists this ribosomal RNA (208 nucleotides) under uncultured bacterium. Its description in RNAcentral is "partial 16S ribosomal RNA". It matches the Rfam family "Bacterial small subunit ribosomal RNA", at positions 568 to 775 of the family's 1533-position model. The record is from RNAcentral.
CGCGUAGGCGGUCUGUUAAGUCCGAUGUCAAAUCCCGGGGCUCAACCCCGGAUCGGCGUUGGAUACUGGCAGGCUGGACGGCUGGAGAGGCGAGUGGAAUUACCAGUGUAGCGGUGGAAUGCGUAGAUACUGGUAGGAACACCCAUUGCGAAGGCAGCUCGCUGGACAGCACGUGACGCUGAGGCGCGAAAGUGUGGGGAGCAAACCG